Molecule: non-coding RNA, 188 nt
Organism: Salmo salar (Atlantic salmon)
Lineage: Eukaryota; Metazoa; Chordata; Actinopteri; Salmoniformes; Salmonidae
Source: RefSeq, a predicted model, not a curated record
UUAUCGCCGUCUUUUGGCUCAGAGAGAAUGUAGUAUCUGUUCUUAUCAGUUUAAUAUCGACGCCCCCAUCGGGGUCUACGAUAUUAAAUGGAUUUUUCGAACAGGGAGUCGGAAAUGGGGUUUGCUCCCGGUCCGGGCUUCCACGCAGACGACCCGGUAUUGUAGUACCCGGGAAUGGUGCAACACUU